AGACGGUAGGGGGCAAGCGUUGUCCGGAAUUACUGGGCGUAAAGGGUGCGUAGGCGGCAUUACAAGUCUAAUGUGAAACUCCCCGUGCUUAACAGUGGGGUUUGCAAUAGAAACUGUAAAGCUAGAGUGCAGGAGAGGUAAGUGGAAUUCCUAGUGUAGCGGUGAAAUGCAUAGAUAUUAGGAGGAACACCAGUGGCGAAGGCGACUUACUGGACUGUAACUGACGCUGAAGCACGAAAGCGUGGGGAUC
This 250-nucleotide ribosomal RNA is filed under the name uncultured bacterium. Its description in RNAcentral is "partial 16S ribosomal RNA". It matches the Rfam family "Bacterial small subunit ribosomal RNA", at positions 523 to 769 of the family's 1533-position model. The record is from RNAcentral.